This is a long non-coding RNA of Seriola aureovittata, 2243 nucleotides long. RefSeq lists it as uncharacterized. NCBI's taxonomy places the organism in Eukaryota, Metazoa, Chordata, Actinopteri, Carangiformes, Carangidae. The transcript has 2 exons. The record is from RefSeq and is a predicted model, not a curated record.
UUCUUGUUCUGUGUGUUUCAUGUAAAACCAAUCAGCAGCAGUCAACUGCUGGCUGUCUCAAUGUUAAAACUAUUAUAAGAUACACACAAACUGUAAGCAGGCGGACAAACAAUGAAUGUAGUUUGCUGAGGCGACAGACGUAAGGGAGAACCACGGAGGGCCACACGGCAUGUUCCACUGGGCUGAUUACCACACAUAGCCAUAUCUCUCUCUCCCUCUCUGUCUCUCGCCCUCUUUAUCAUUUUUUUUCUUUUCAAAUUGAGCUACUGGCCCCAAUAGCCUAAUGCUCAUGUGGAGUUGAUGUUGAAUAAAAGUCAUCAGAGUAGUAGUAGAGUUUAUUUACCGAACUUCACGUGACAGCCUCCAUGAUCUCUUUAUAAAAUGAUUGUGUUAAUCGACCCUGUCACCAGCCAGCAACAACUCGCCCAGCCCAUCUGGCAAGUAAGAUUAAGCACACACCACAGUUGGUUUUAACGUUCAGGUGUUGUUAGAGGUUGGUUUUGAUCCUGGUCACUCAAUAAAAUUCACAGCUGUUAUCUACUUUUAAUGAUGAUCGUUUCAAAGGACAACAAACCAACUGUGUCAUGCUGCAGGCUCUGGACAGAAGGUAAAGGUGGACCCACCAGCUUGCUGUAAAGGAAACUGAGACCCUGGAGAAAUCGCUCCCCGUUCGAGCAGGAGAUAAGUGGGCUUUGGAUGAUAGUGUGGUGGAGCUGCACACUGCCAAUACCUUCUUUUCACAAGGUCUGUCACAGACUGGUCAUUGGCUCAGAUCACCCAGACCUGAUCAUUCCCAACGAGCCAGUACGCCUCAGCCCACCAGGAGUCCCAGCUACAGUUCGAACUUGAAAGACAGAAUUGUGUUUCACUGCUCUUUAGUUAUGAUGGACUGAACUAUCUGUUGCCAGGAUCCACAUUAGGAUCCCCACUCUUAGGAGUUCUUGUUCAUUUUUGGAAACAUCCUGUGGCUAUCAGUUGAGAUAUAAAACAGAUGUUGCACCAAGUCUGUCCACUCUCCAGCGGUCAACCCCUACUGCAGCUCGUGUGGCGAGAUCUCCUCUAAGAGAAGCCACCGUAGGUUUAUGAAUGGUGUGUCCUCCCAUUUGGAACGACGUAUGCAGUCCCUGCUGCGCCACCUUUGCCUUGCAGAGGCACGUGCUCAACCGCAGUGAACAAGGGGUCAGUUUUCAUCACGCCGUGCAGAAAAACUUCUUUGUUGAUAAUUGCCUGCUGAGCACAUCCUCCCCACAGGAAGCCAGACUCUGGGUGCACAAGUUGGGAGAACUGCUGGCAUCAGGUGGUUUUGAAAUAAGACAGUGGGGCGGUAAUGUUGCUUCAGUGGUUGGCCACCUUCCAACAGAGUUGAGGAACUCAAGAGUCCCAAUAGACCCUAAAGACCAUGCCCUUGGAUUAACCUGGCAUUGUUCACCAGACACCCUUCAGUACCUUCACAGCCCAUCCCGCCUCCAAGAUGUGUCGAUGCGCAACAUCUAUUGCAUUCUUGUGGGCCAGUAUGAUCCUAUUGGAUAUAUAAUCCCCUUUUCCACCAGGGCCAAAGUCUUAGUCCAGCAGGAACAGCAGGGGAAUGUUCAGGUCUCCUUUGUGCUGGUCAGAUCUUGUGUCACUCUCAAACAGAUCAGCAGAUCAGUUCAGCGGUCACUUCAGACAUAUAGCCACACUUUAGACUUCGACCAGUGUCCUUUGGCACAAUGGACCAAAACUGGCACGGAUAUGUUAUUUUUUUAUUUUUUUAUUUUUUUUAUGGUGAUUGAGGGCAGAUCUGCAUCAGCUUAUUUUGUUAGCAUAUUACUACUGAAUCAAGGAGUAGCAAGCAUUUCUAGAAUUUGUGGAAUAUUAUGAUUAAGUGUUUUUAUUAUGUACUGAUUUCAAUAUCUCACAUAUUAGCUGUGGCUGGAAGUAGACUUUGAUAGGGGAAACAUCUGAUAAGGAGUGUUUACUGAUAUUUAUGAGCCAAGAAAGUUUUGGCAGGGACUUUUCCUCAUGUUGAACAGAACAAAUUUGCUGAUGACUGUGAAUGUGAGUGUCAGUUGUUUUUGGGCAGCAGUGGUCUGGUAGGAGGGAUCUGUUGGGCAAUAUUUGGUUUAGUUUAGUUCCUGUAUCUAUGCCAAAGGGUGGGGUCAAGUGUAUAAAACUUUUAGUAAAAGAAAAGACUUGCUAAUAACUGUAGUGUGUAAGUAUUCUUCGAGCAUGUAAAAGAGAUAUUAAAGCAGCAUUUCACAUGA